GAUGAACGCUGGCGGCGUGCCUAAUACAUGCAAGUCGAGCGAACGGACGAGAAGCUUGCUUCUCUGAUGUUAGCGGCGGACGGGUGAGUAACACGUGGAUAACCUACCUAUAAGACUGGGAUAACUUCGGGAAACCGGAGCUAAUACCGGAUAAUAUUUUGAACCGCAUGGUUCAAAAGUGAAAGACGGUCUUGCUGUCACUUAUAGAUGGAUCCGCGCUGCAUUAGCUAGUUGGUAAGGUAACGGCUUACCAAGGCAACGAUGCAUAGCCGACCUGAGAGGGUGAUCGCCCACACUGGAACUGAGACACGGUCCAGACUCCUACGGGAGGCAGCAGUAGGGAAUCUUCCGCAAAGGGCGAAAGCCUGACGGAGCAACGCCGCGUGAGUGAUGAAGGUCUUCGGAUCGUAAAACUCUGUUAUUAGGGAAGAACAUAUGUGUAAGUAACUGUGCACAUCUUGACGGUACCUAAUCAGAAAGCCACGGCUAACUACGUG
RNAcentral lists this ribosomal RNA (497 nucleotides) under uncultured bacterium. RNAcentral's name for it is "partial 16S ribosomal RNA". It matches the Rfam family "Bacterial small subunit ribosomal RNA", at positions 28 to 507 of the family's 1533-position model. The record is from RNAcentral.